This 253-nucleotide ribosomal RNA is filed under the name uncultured bacterium. Its description in RNAcentral is "partial 16S ribosomal RNA". It matches the Rfam family "Bacterial small subunit ribosomal RNA", at positions 524 to 776 of the family's 1533-position model. The record is from RNAcentral.
UACGUAGGGGGCAAGCGUUGUCCGGAUUUAUUGGGCGUAAAGAGCGUGUAGGCGGCCUGACAGGUCUGCUGUGAAAACUCGAGGCUCAACCUCGAGAUGUCGGCGGAAACCGUCUGGCUAGAGUCCGGAAGAGGAGAGUGGAAUUCCUGGUGUAGCGGUGAAAUGCGCAGAUAUCAGGAGGAACACCAACAGCGAAGGCAGCACUCUGGGCCGGUACUGACGCUGAGGAGCGAAAGCGUGGGGAGCGAACAGG